This 390-nucleotide unclassified non-coding RNA is filed under the name soil metagenome. RNAcentral describes it as "partial contains 5.8S ribosomal RNA, internal transcribed spacer 2, and large subunit ribosomal RNA". The stretch from base 1 to 121 matches the Rfam family "5.8S ribosomal RNA", at positions 35 to 154 of the family's 154-position model. The record is from RNAcentral.
GAUGAAGACGCAGCGAAAUGCGAUACUUGGUGUGAAUUGCAGAAUCCCGUGAACCAUCGAGUCUUUGAACGCAAGUUGCGCCCGAAGCCAUUAGGCCGAGGGCACGCCUGCCUGGGCGUCACACGUCGUUGCCCCCCCAUCUACUCCUUCGGGAUUGCGGGGGGCGGAUGAUGGCCUCCCGUGCGCCUCGUCGCGCGGUUGGCAUAAAUGCCAAGUCCUCGGCGACGCACGCCACGACAAUCGGUGGUUGCGAAACCUCGGUUGCCCGUCGUGUGCGGUCGUCGCGCAUCGAGGGCUCGAAAAAAUUGCCGGGCUCCGGCUCGGCUUUCAACGCGACCCCAGGUCAGGCGGGGUUACCCGCUGAAUUUAAGCAUAUCAAUAAGCGGAGGA